This 5916-nucleotide long non-coding RNA is filed under the name Erythranthe guttata (spotted monkey flower). RNAcentral's name for it is "long non-coding RNA (EGUT_LNC000177)". Lineage: Eukaryota; Viridiplantae; Streptophyta; Magnoliopsida; Lamiales; Phrymaceae. The record is from RNAcentral.
UCCCGAAGAACCGAUCUUCUUUUUAUAUAGAAGAAGCAAACUUGUGAUACUCCUUGAAUCUUGAUGUCUUCACCACAAAGCCUUGAAGCCGAUAUAUUUUCUAUGAAAAUCACGUAUCACGAUGGAACAAUCAAAACGAGAGGAAAAAUAUUUUUUGUGAAAAACUUCUCUCGAUAAAAUAGACGUUCCUAGAGCAGCAAUCAAAAGAGCAGAAAAAUAUAAUUUUCUCUCCAAAAAGGCGUGAACAACAAAACGUUGAUACUCCUGUAAUUAUAUUCCUGAAUAGAAGAGCCCUACAAAAUUGGAGCCCAUUAGGUUAGUGAGAAUCUUACGUGAGGAAACAAAAUUAUGUAGUAAGGAAAGUCUUUGUCCAAGAAAUUCCUUGCUAACAUAUGACUUAUAUAAUUAAAUAAAUUAAUGACAAAAUAAGAGUUUAAAGCAUUAAGGAAACUUCCCUAGCUUUAGAUAGCGUUUUUCACACGUGUUGAAAAACCAAAAUUAGAAUCCUCUCGGAUUCUAACAAUCUCCCCCUUUGUCAUCUAUUUAUUAUAAUCAAGUCCUCCCCCUUCGUCAAAUACCUGAAAAUAAAACAAUUAGAUGAUAGACGUAAGCAAUAAAACUCAGGAUCAUCCUCAGUAUUAAAGGAACAGCUCAUCAUCAUCUCUUUCAGCAACGAGAGUGACAUCAACUGCUGCAAUAGUAAGUGCCACAGUUUCAGCAACUGUUCCAGCAGUAGUGGCUUCGGCAGGUGGUUCACAACAAAGUUAACUCCCCCUGCAUGUGUAUCUCCCCCUGUGAAUGAUCCUUAGGCAGCUCCUCUUGCAAAUGCAUUCAUUCUUCCCCUUUGCUUACUUGGCUUGGUAGGCUUGGAGAUCGGUGGAACGCGACGUGGUAAAUCAUCCACGUGAUAAGAGACUCAACAAAUAACGUCGGCAUUAUAGCUCCUCCUUUUAUAUUCUUGUGAAGACCUAAACCAAUUAAUGACAAUAAACAUCUCCAUAGAAUUUCACUUGGUGUUGUGGACUUAGAAUCCCACGAGAUUCUAACACUCUCCCCCUUUGGCAUUGAUUGGUCAGAACAUUUACUCCCCCUAAAUAUAUGAUAACUGCAUGAACAAGGGUUAGCAAAUUCAGAAUAACAUCUGCACAUAUAAACUGUUGCAACAGUUUAUCAAACAGUUCAGCAUAUAGUGUAAACCGUAAAUAAACCAUAGUUCCAUAAUAAAAGCAGAUAAUUCGUUCAGAUAAGCACGAGAUAAAAGGAUAUGCAGUAGCAGAAACAACUUCUCUGCACAAUGCUUAUUAGUUGUCCUAUAUUUCUGCCCAGCAACUGUCUCAUGCACUGUUUCAACAGUUGUCUGAACUCCCCCUGCACUGUUCCAGCAACUGUCUGAUGCACUGUCGCAACAGUUGUGGAACUCCCCCUGUGUUCAUGCCAUCGUUACUGUUCUUUUCUCCCCCUUUCUGGGCAAUCACCAUGCAAAGAUAACUCAACAUGGACUAACGAUCUUGAUGAGUCAAGCAAGCUGUUCAAACACUUAACAAAAAGAUCAAAACGAAGAGAGAAUCUUGGAACUAAGUGAGAAGAAUCACUAUACAUAACGUGCACAGAAAAUCACAAACUCACAAACUCAAUACCACACGAUAAUUGCAAUGCAUAAAUCAAAGGAUGGUGAUAUCAAAUCCAACAUUAAAUAGCAAAGACUACAGACUUUGCCAAACUUCAUAAGAAACGUGGAAAUGUGAGGAGUAAGCCCAAUCGAUCCGGUUGCAACAAAAAAUAAAAUUUAACCGGCACAUAAACAAAAAUCCCGUCUCUCUCUCUCUCUCUCUCUCUUUUUUUUUUUUUUUUUUUUUUUUUUUUUUUUUUUUUUAUUAAAUAAUGCCUAAUGCAGUACAAAAAGUAAACAUGAGAAAUAGACAUGAGUGAAGAGACAUAUGUGAAUAGGAUACUGCAUGGACAAACAAAAUAUAUGGGAUUUAUCUUCACAUUCACGAUAAGCGCAAUCCCCAAAAAUCCGACUGCCAAUGCAACCAACAAACUUAAUAAUCCCAAGUCAAACACAAAGAUGCUCUUAUUAGGUAGCGUACACACACGUCUAAUGGUAGCUUUUUCCCAUGAAAAACAGAGCAAUUAAAAAGGAACGAGAUUAUGCUGGUCGUGCAAUGUGUAGUCCCCUGGGCUUUCUAAUUGAGCUUUGUAGUAAGUGUUCGGUCAAGUGGUUUACUGGCUCGACUCAACUAGGCUUCGAACUAUUCACUGACCAUAUAUAUAAUUUAUAUUGGUCGUGCAAUGUGUAGUCCCCUGGGCUUUCUAAUUGAGCCUUGUAGCGAGCUUUCGGCCACGUGAUUUACUGACUCGACUCAAAAAGGCUUCGAACUAUUCACUGACCAAAUGGUUGUAGAUAUACAUAUUAGUAACAGUAGUUCAAGAGUAGCUUUCACUCAUUAAAAGAGGCAGCUUUUCCCUAUAAAAACAUCCAACCAUGACAAGACUAUUCAGAGAAAUAAAUAAGUUGGAGCCUUUUAAGUAAUCAUUUUGGGAAUUUGUGAAGUUCUACCCCACAAAAUUUAGAAAUACACGUUGUAUCAAAUUCACAUUUGUCUCAAUCAUAUGCAGUAUGCUUAAUGCAGAUCCUAUAUGAGAUGCAAAACAUAUGAAGUGUCCUACCACUAAAAGUUGCAAGUCUGGACACACAGACUGUUGCAACAGUUCAUGCAACUGCAUCAGAUUAAACAACAUAAAUUCCCAGCGAUUUUCGCAAGGAAUCAAAUCUCUGUGCAUCAAGGGUUUUUGCAAAAGCAUCAGUUAAUUCAUUCUCCGUUGCAGCAUAAUCAAUUGAGACAACCCCCUUUUCGACCAAGCCCCUUAUGAAACAAUGACAGAUAUCAGUAAGCUUAGUUCUCGAAUGCUGAAUUGGAUUCAUAAACUUAUUUUUCGCAUUCAAAUUAUCACAAUUCAGAUUACCAAGUUUUUUAUUCCCAAAACUAGCUUUGUCACCAGAACUGUUGGAACAGUUAGUACUAUCAUCACAUGAGUUUAAAGAAGUAAUGGCAGAUAAACAAUUAAGAUCAGACUUCUUUACCCAGAUUUUUUGUUGAGUUUUAUUCACUAAAUCAACCUUUAUCUUGGGUUUUUGAGACGACACAGAAGUGUGAUCAAUUUUAGCGGAAAGUGGUGAGCGGGCCAUUAUUCUUUUAACUAAUUUCAAGUACUUAAAACACCUAGGUCGUAUAUGACCAGGAGCAUGACAAAAAUGACAGGUAGGGACAAAACGUUUUCUUUGAGAUGACUGAGUUGAUGCAACUGUCGCAACAGUUUGUGAAACAGUGGAUUGUUUAACAAAAUUGAUUUUUCUUUUUGGAUCUUCUUUCUGUUUCAAUGCAUCAUUAGAUAGCUGAUUACCCCCUAUACCUAUACGACAGUAGUUCGGCUGAUUUUUGUUCAAAAUUUCAUUCAAAGUUACUCUACCAGUAUUAAACUUAGAAAUAACAUCUUGGGUUUGAGCAAAUUUAGCCUGCAAGCUAUCUAUUUCUCUACUAGAAGAAAUAACAUUUUGUUCAAGAGUAGAAAUUCUUACCUUUAACACUUUAUUUUCCUCUAUGAGAACAUGCUUAUCAUUUUCAAGGCGCUUAUUUACCUCAGAUACUUCAAGCCACUUCCGGUACAUUUUUUCAUAUACAUCUUUCACCUCUUCGAGGGUUGGCUCUUCAUCAUCACUACUGCUCUCAGAUUCACCUGCAAAAUUAAAUGAUGAAGUCAGACUAUUGUCCUUAUUUAAAGAUAAUUCAUCAUACCUGAAAUCUGUCGGACAGACUGUUGCAACAGUUCGUCCCUCGGUUCUGCUCAUCGAAGUAGUACCACUGAAUGCCAUAAAUUUAGUGGUUUGAUCUCCUUUGCUGUUCUCAUCCUCAUCACUGUCCUCUUUAUCACUCCAAACAGUGGUGAGUGACAUCUUGUUUUUCUUCAAAGUGUUCGCACACUCGGCCUGAAUAUGUCCAAAACCCCCACACUCUCGACAUUGCUUUCUCCUAGACUUUGCAUCACCAAAAUAACCAUUAUUAGAAAACUUUUUAAAGUUGUUAGGGUUAACAGACUUACCUGAUUGAGAGGAAUUUUCUCUAUUUUCAAUUUUUUGACGCAGGCUUUCGAGGUUAUUUGACAUAAUUGCUAAGGAUUCUUCAACAUCAAUGUCACACUCAUGAAAUGUUUGGCCUUGUGAGAUGCCAUGGGAAGCUUCAGCUUGGAAUGCCACAUUCUUCACCUUUUUCUUUUCUCGAAUAUUUGCUCUAAAAUUCAUUUCUUGGGUUUGUAGUUUACCCAUGAGUUCAUCUAGCUUUAGCGUAUUGAUAUCUCUCACUUCUUCGAUUGCUGCAACUCUGUAAGCGAAUCUUUCUGGUAAUGAACGUAGUGCCUUUCUUACCAACUUUGUUUCCGAGUAUUGUUCACCUAAUGCAUACGAUUCAUUUGAAAUAUCACACAACUUAGCGUGGAAAUCAGCAAUCGUCUCGUCCUCCUCCAUAUGAAGACUCUCAAAUCUCGUGGCUAACAUCUGCAGCUUAGAUGUUUUAACAGUUGAUGUGCCUUCAUACGUCACUUGUAGGAUCUCCCAUGCCCUUUUUGCUGAUUCACACGAUGCUAUCAGUUUGAACUGAUUGUCACCAACGCCACUAAAAAUUGAGUUUAUCGCCCUUGAGUUGUAAUUGGCAAGUAAUAUCUCUUCAUUAGUCCAUGCUUCUUCUGGUUUUACCGUUUGCAUACCAUCCGUUCCUUUAGCCAUGGGCGGGGUCCAACCAGUCACGAUAGCACGCCACGCUCGUUCAUCAACGGACUUGAUGAACAUCUUCAUCUUCGAUUUCCAGUAAGAGUAAUUUGAUCCAUCCAAGAGAGGUGGUCGUACUGUAGACGCUCCUUCACGAUGAAACAUAUCUGCACAAAACAAAUUAAAAAAUUAAAUCCCAAAAUCUCACUAAGUGUAUCUAGUGACAGGCUCUUGAUGCCAAUUGUUAGAAUUUAUUUCGUGCAGAUAUAAAUUAUUUGUGUCAGAUUCAGUUUUUCGUUACUGUUGCGUGAAGUGUUGCAACAGUUCGUGAAACAGUUUGUAAAAACAGAAAUAAACGAGACACAAAUUUAAUGUGGUUCGGAUACAACUGUACCCUACAUCCACUGGGACCUGCAAAUAAAAUUUACUAAUUUUUAGUUUUACGAAUACAAUAAUAGGACUUAAUCAAAAUACAAAGACUCCCUCUUUGUUGACGCCGUUCUUGUAUACUACGCUGAAUUAUAAAUCUUCAAUUUGCAGCACGUCCCUUGCUCCGCACGGUUGAACUCCCUUCAACGCUGAAUCCCUCAGUCGGCGGAUCGAUCUCCUCCCGAGAUCUGUUUAAGCCCCUCUCCCGAAGAACCGAUCUUCUUUUUAUAUAGAAGAAGCAAACUUGUGAUACUCCUUGAAUCUUGAUGUCUUCACCACAAAGCCUUGAAGCCGAUAUAUUUUCUAUGAAAAUCACGUAUCACGAUGGAACAAUCAAAACGAGAGGAAAAAUAUUUUUUGUGAAAAACUUCUCUCGAUAAAAUAGACGUUCCUAGAGCAGCAAUCAAAAGAGCAGAAAAAUAUAAUUUUCUCUCCAAAAAGGCGUGAACAACAAAACGUUGAUACUCCUGUAAUUAUAUUCCUGAAUAGAAGAGCCCUACAAAAUUGGAGCCCAUUAGGUUAGUGAGAAUCUUACGUGAGGAAACAAAAUUAUGUAGUAAGGAAAGUCUUUGUCCAAGAAAUUCCUUGCUAACAUAUGACUUAUAUAAUUAAAUAAAUUAAUGACAAAAUAAGAGUUUAAAGCAUUAAGGAAACUUCCCUAGCUUUAGAUAGCGUUUUUCACACGUGUUGAAAAACCAAAAUUAGAAUCCUCUCGGAUUCUAACA